UACAGAGGGGGCAAGCGUUGUCCGGAAUUACUGGGCGUACAGCGCACGCAGGUGGCAGUGCAAGUGUGGUGUGAAAGCCCCGCGCUCAACGCGGGGAGGCCAGCACAGACUGCACGGCUGGAGGGGUGCAGAGGGUAGGGGAAUUGCCGGUGUAGUGGUGAAAUGCGUAGAGAUCGGCAGGAACACCAAGGACGAAGGUACCUACCUGGGCACCAACUGACACUCAUGUGCGACCGCGUGGGGAGCGAACCGG
This 253-nucleotide ribosomal RNA is filed under the name uncultured bacterium. RNAcentral describes it as "partial 16S ribosomal RNA". It matches the Rfam family "Bacterial small subunit ribosomal RNA", at positions 524 to 776 of the family's 1533-position model. The record is from RNAcentral.